RNAcentral lists this non-coding RNA (30 nucleotides) under Rattus norvegicus (Norway rat). Lineage: Eukaryota; Metazoa; Chordata; Mammalia; Rodentia; Muridae. The record is from RNAcentral.
UGUGCAAUCUGCACUAGGGCUUGCCAUUCC